Molecule: ribosomal RNA, 253 nt
Filed under: uncultured bacterium
Lineage: Bacteria
Description: partial 16S ribosomal RNA
Rfam family: Bacterial small subunit ribosomal RNA
Source: RNAcentral
UACGGAGGGUGCGAGCGUUGUCCGGAAUCACUGGGCGUAAAGGGCGCGUAGGCGGCAGGCCAAGCGUGCGGUGAAAGUCCGGGGCUCAACCCCGGAUCUGCCGUGCGGACUGGUUUGCUAGAGCACUGUAGAGGCGAGUGGAAUUCCGGGUGUAGCGGUGGAAUGCGUAGAGAUCCGGAAGAACACCGGUGGCGAAGGCGGCUCGCUGGGCAGUGGCUGACGCUGAGGCGCGAAAGCGUGGGGAGCAAACAGG